CAAUAGCGUAUAUUAAAGUUGUUGCGGUUAAAAAGCUCGUAGUUGGAUUUCUGCUGAGAACGACCGGUCCGCCCUUUGGGUGUGUAUCUGGCUCUUUCUUGGCAUCUUCUUGGUGAACGUUGCUGCACUUGACUGUGUGGAGCGCUACCCAGGACUUUUACUUUGAGGAAAUUAGAGUGUUUCAAGCAGGCAUACGCCUUGAAUACAUUAGCAUGGAAUAAUAAGAUAGGACCUCGGUUCUAUUUUGUUGGUUUCUAGAGCUGAGGUAAUGAUUAAUAGGGAUAGUUGGGGGCAUUCGUAUUUAACUGUCAGAGGUGAAAUUCUUGGAUUUGUUAAGGACGGACUACUGCGAAAGCAUUUGCCAAGGAUGUUUUCAUUGA
RNAcentral lists this ribosomal RNA (380 nucleotides) under uncultured eukaryote. Its description in RNAcentral is "partial 18S ribosomal RNA". It matches the Rfam family "Eukaryotic small subunit ribosomal RNA", at positions 592 to 976 of the family's 1831-position model. The record is from RNAcentral.